This 179-nucleotide non-coding RNA is filed under the name Neisseria sp. Its description in RNAcentral is "6S RNA". It matches the Rfam family "6S / SsrS RNA". From Rfam's summary of the family: E. coli 6S RNA was the first non coding RNA to be sequenced, but its function was unknown until recently. Lineage: Bacteria; Pseudomonadati; Pseudomonadota; Betaproteobacteria; Neisseriales; Neisseriaceae. The record is from RNAcentral.
UUUUCCCUGCGAUGUUCGCGAAGGCAUAAUUCCUUUGAACCAAUACGUUCGCUUACGGUGGCGAAAGUGCGGCGGGUGUGAGCGUUUCGUAAGAAACGCACCCGAAGCCGCACGGAGCGACCGACCUUGAUGCUUAAGGUUCAAGCGAAUCGAGCCUAAACGGCAUCUGCGGGGAAACC